UGGGGAAUUUUGGACAAUGGGCGAAAGCCUGAUCCAGCAAUGCCGCGUGUGUGAAGAAGGCCUUCGGGUUGUAAAGCACUUUUGUCCGGAAAGAAAUCCUUGGCUCUAAUACAGUCGGGGGAUGACGGUACCGGAAGAAUAAGCACCGGCUAACUACGUGCCAGCAGCCGCGGUAAUACGUAGGGUGCAAGCGUUAAUCGGAAUUACUGGGCGUAAAGCGUGCGCAGGCGGUUUGCUAAGACCGAUNUGAAAUCCCCGGGCUCAACCUGGGAACUGCAUUGGUGACUGGCAGGCUAGAGUAUGGCAGAGGGGGGUAGAAUUCCACGUGUAGCAGUGAAAUGCGUAGAGAUGUGGAGGAAUACCGAUGGCGAAGGCAGCCCCCUGGGCCAAUACUGACGCUCAUGCACGAAAAGCGUGGGGAGCAAAACAGGAUUAGAUACCCUGGUAGUCCACGCCCUAAACGAUGUCAACUAGUUGUUGGGGAUUCAUUUCCUUAGUAACGUAGCUAACGCGUGAAGUUGACCGCCUGGGGAGUACGGUCGCAAGAUUAAAACUCAAAGAAUUGACGGGGUCAU
This 575-nucleotide ribosomal RNA is filed under the name uncultured bacterium. RNAcentral's name for it is "partial 16S ribosomal RNA". It matches the Rfam family "Bacterial small subunit ribosomal RNA", at positions 355 to 922 of the family's 1533-position model. The record is from RNAcentral.